This is a long non-coding RNA of Odocoileus virginianus texanus, 388 nucleotides long. RefSeq lists it as uncharacterized. NCBI's taxonomy places the organism in Eukaryota, Metazoa, Chordata, Mammalia, Artiodactyla, Cervidae. The record is from RefSeq and is a predicted model, not a curated record.
CUCUUUACUGCUGAGCCAGCUGGGAAACCCCAAAUAACAAAGAGGCAUGGAUCUAGGUCAUGUGGGCUCAGUAGUUGUGAUGCUUGGACUUAGCUGCCCUGCAAUAUAUGAUGUCUUCCUGGACCAGGGAGCUAACCGUGUUCCCUGGGAAGUAGAUUCCUAACCACUGGACCUACAGCGAAGUCUCUCAUCGAAUGUUGUAUAAGCACCUGUGAGAUCCAUUGAGAGGAAGCUGAAACCAUAAAUUCUCCCAGACUGAAUUUUUUGUUCGUUUGUUUCGUUGGUUGUUUUAAAUUAUGGGGGUUCUUACAGUUAAUCAUUAUAUGUCUUUGUAUUCACCUUUUAAUUUGAUCUUUUCAGAGAUACAAAUAAAACUACAAGAAAGCUG